This 769-nucleotide unclassified non-coding RNA is filed under the name Hevea brasiliensis (rubber tree). The record is from RNAcentral. Lineage: Eukaryota; Viridiplantae; Streptophyta; Magnoliopsida; Malpighiales; Euphorbiaceae.
CGUCUUCUGUUACACCGAGUUCGCCGUGGAAAUUCCGGUUGCAGGCGGUUCAUUUGCUUACCUAAGAGUAGAGCUUGGUGACUUCGUGGCCUUCAUUGGCGCUGGCAACAUCCUCCUUGAGUAUGUGAUUGGUGGUGCUGCUGUAUCCCGCUCAUGGACAUCUUACUUCGCCACCCUCUGCAACCACAAACCUGAUGAUUUUCGAAUCAUAGCCCAUAGUCUUCCUGAUGAUUAUGGCCACCUUGAUCCCAUUGCCGUUGUUGUUGUUUCCAUCAUUUGUGUCCUCGCUGUCCUUAGCACCAAGGGAUCGUCACGCUUCAAUUACAUUGCCUCCAUUGUCCACAUUGUGGUGAUUCUAUUCAUCAUUAUUGGCGGCCUUAUCAAUGCAGACACCAAAAAUUACUCCGACUUUGUUCCCUACGGUCCUCGGGGAAUUUUUAAAGCUUCAGCUGUGCUUUUCUUUGCAUAUGUUGGAUUCGAUGCUGUUUCCACAAUGGCUGAAGAAACCAAAAAUCCUGCUCGAGAUAUUCCUAUUGGGCUUGUGGGCUCAAUGACAAUAACUACAUUGCUCUAUUGUUUGCUAGCCGUGACAUUGUGUCUCAUGGUUCCAUACCAGCAAAUCGAUCCAGAUGCCCCAUUUUCUGUAGCAUUUCAGGUUGCAGGUUGGGAUUGGGCUAAAUACGUUGUGGCUGCAGGCGCAUUGAAAGGCAUGACCACUGUUUUGCUUGUUUCAGCAGUAGGUCAGGCCCGUUAUCUCACACACAUUGCU